This 378-nucleotide ribosomal RNA is filed under the name uncultured crenarchaeote. RNAcentral describes it as "bacterial SSU rRNA". It matches the Rfam family "Archaeal small subunit ribosomal RNA", at positions 468 to 846 of the family's 1478-position model. Lineage: Archaea; Thermoproteati; Thermoproteota. The record is from RNAcentral.
CGGUAAAACCAGCACCUCAAGUGGUCAGGAUGAUUAUUGGGCCUAAAGCAUCCGUAGCCGGCUCUGUAAGUUUUCGGUUAAAUCUGUAUGCUCAACAUACAGGCUGCCGGGAAUACUGCAGAGCUAGGGAGUGGGAGAGGUAGACGGUACUCGGUAGGAAGGGGUAAAAUCCUUUGAUCUAUUGAUGACCACCUGUGGCGAAGGCGGUCUACCAGAACACGUCCGACGGUGAGGGAUGAAAGCUGGGGGAGCAAACCGGAUUAGAUACCCGGGUAGUCCCAGCUGUAAACUAUGCAAACUCAGUGAUGCAUUGGCUUGUGGCCAAUGCAGUGCUGCAGGGAAGCCGUUAAGUUUGCCGCCUGGGAAGUACGUACGCAA